Molecule: ribosomal RNA, 433 nt
Filed under: uncultured bacterium
Lineage: Bacteria
Description: partial 16S ribosomal RNA
Rfam family: Bacterial small subunit ribosomal RNA
Source: RNAcentral
AACGAACGCUGGCGGCAUGCCUAACACAUGCAAGUCGAACGAGACCUUCGGGUCUAGUGGCGCACGGGGGCGUAACGCGUGGGAACCUGCCCUUAGGUUCGGAAUACCUCCCCGAAAGGGGUGCUAAUACCGGAUAAUGUCUUCGGACCAAAGAUUUAUCGCCGUUGGAUGGGCCCGCGUUGGAUUAGCUAGUUGGUAGGGUAAAAGCCUACCAAGGCGACGAUCCAUAGCUGGUCUGAGAGGAUGAUAAGCCACAAUGGGAAUGAGACACGGCCCAGAAUCCUACGGGAGGCAGCAGUGGGGAAUAUUGGACAAUGGGCGAAAGCCUGAUCCAGCAAUGCCGCGUGAGUGAUGAAGGCCUUAGGGUUGUAAAGCUCUUUUACCCGGGAUGAUAAUGACAGUACCGGGAGAAUAAGCUCCGGCUAACUCCGUG